UACGGAGGGGGCUAGCGUUAUUCGGAAUUACUGGGCGUAAAGCGUUCGUAGGCGGCUUUGUAAGUCAGAGGUGAAAGCCCACGACUCAAUCGUGGAACUGCCUUUGAGACUGCUUCGCUUGAAGAUGGGAGAGGUUAGUGGAAUUCCGAGUGUAGAGGUGAAAUUCGUAGAUAUUCGGAAGAACACCAGUGGCGAAGGCGGCUAACUGGGCCAUUACUGACGCUGAUGGACGAAAGCUAGGGGAGCGAAAGGG
Molecule: ribosomal RNA, 253 nt
Filed under: uncultured bacterium
Lineage: Bacteria
Description: partial 16S ribosomal RNA
Rfam family: Bacterial small subunit ribosomal RNA
Source: RNAcentral